CGACGCGUUGUUAAGCAUUAUACAGCGAAACUGCGAAUGGCUCAUUAAAUCAGUUAUCGUUUAUUUGAUAUUACCUUACUACAUGGAUACCUGUGGUAAUUCUAGAGCUAAUACAUGCAAAAAAUCCCGACUUCGGAAGGGAUGUGUUUAUUAGAUUAAAAACCAAUGCCCUCCGGGGCUCACUGGUGAUUCAUAAUAACCUCUCGAAUCGCACGGCCUUGCGCCGGCGAUGGUUCAUUCAAAUUUCUGCCCUAUCAACUUUCGACGGCUGGGUCUUGGCCAGCCAUGGUGACAACGGGUAACGGGGAGUUAGGGCUCGACUCCGGAGAAGGAGCCUGAGAAACGGCUACUACAUCCAAGGAAGGCAGCAGGCGCGCAAAUUACCCAAUCCCGACACGGGGAGGUAGUGACAAUAAAUACUGAUACAGGGCUCUUUUGGGUCUUGUAAUUGGAAUGAGUACAAUUUAAAUCCCUUAACGAGGAACAAUUGGAGGGCAAGUCUGGUGCCAGCAGCCGCGGUAAUUCCAGCUCCAAUAGCGUAUAUUAAAGUUGUUGAGGUUAAAAAGCUCGUAUUGGAACCUUGGGCCCGGCCCUCCGGUCCCCCUCACCGGGUGCACUGGCUCGGCCGGGCCUUUCCUUCUGGAGAACCGCAUGCCCUUCACUGGGUGGUGCCGGGGAACCAGGACUUUUACUGUGAACAAAUUAGAUCGCUUAAAGAAGGCCUAUGCUCGAAAAGUCUAGCAUGGAAUAAUAGAAUAAGGACGUGUGGUUCUAUUUUUGUUGGUUUCUAGGACCGCCGUAAUGAUUAAUAGGGGACAGUCGGGGGCAUCAGUAUUCAAUUGUCAGAGGUGAAAUUCUUGGAUUUAUUGAAGACUAACUACUGGGAAAGCAUUUGCCAAGGAUGUUUUCAUUAAUCAGGAACGAAAGUUAGGGGAUCGAAAAGAUCAAAAACCGGCGUAGCUU
RNAcentral lists this ribosomal RNA (963 nucleotides) under Podospora anserina. RNAcentral's name for it is "SSU rRNA". It matches the Rfam family "Eukaryotic small subunit ribosomal RNA", at positions 65 to 1026 of the family's 1831-position model. Lineage: Eukaryota; Fungi; Ascomycota; Sordariomycetes; Sordariales; Podosporaceae. The record is from RNAcentral.